This 502-nucleotide ribosomal RNA is filed under the name uncultured bacterium. Its description in RNAcentral is "partial 16S ribosomal RNA". It matches the Rfam family "Bacterial small subunit ribosomal RNA", at positions 899 to 1397 of the family's 1533-position model. The record is from RNAcentral.
ACUCAAAUGAAUAGACGGGGGCCCGCACAAGCGGUGGAGUAUGUGGUUUAAUUCGACGCAACGCGAAGAACCUUACCAGGCCUUGACAUGGGAAGUUUGGGUCACAGAGAUGUGACUCUUCAGUUCGGCUGGCUUCCACACAGGUGCUGCAUGGCUGUCGUCAGCUCGUGUCGUGAGAUGUUGGGUUAAGUCCCGCAACGAGCGCAACCCUCAUCUUUAGUUGCCCCCAGGUAAUGCUGGGCACUCUAAAGAAACCGCCGGUGACAAGCCGGAGGAAGGCGGGGAUGACGUCAAGUCCUCAUGGCCCUUACGGCCUGGGCUACACACGUACUACAAUGGUGGUGACAGUGGGUCGCGAAACCGCGAGGUUCAGCCAAUCCCAAAAAGCCAUCUCAGUUCAGAUUGCACUCUGCAACUCGGGUGCAUGAAGUUGGAAUCGCUAGUAAUCGUGGAUCAGCACGCCACGGUGAAUACGUUCCCGGGCCUUGCACACACCGCCCGU